RNAcentral lists this ribosomal RNA (496 nucleotides) under uncultured bacterium. RNAcentral's name for it is "partial 16S ribosomal RNA". It matches the Rfam family "Bacterial small subunit ribosomal RNA", at positions 28 to 506 of the family's 1533-position model. The record is from RNAcentral.
GAUGAACGCUGGCGGCGUGCCUAAUACAUGCAAGUCGAGCGAACAGAUGAGGAGCUUGCUCCUCUGACGUUAGCGGCGGACGGGUGAGUAACACGUGGAUAACCUACCUAUAAGACUGGGAUAACUUCGGGAAACCGGAGCUAAUACCGGAUAAUAUAUUGAACCGCAUGGUUCAAUAGUGAAAGACGGUUUUGCUGUCACUUAUAGAUGGAUCCGCGCCGCAUUAGCUAGUUGGUAAGGUAACGGCUUACCAAGGCAACGAUGCGUAGCCGACCAGAGAGGGUGAUCGGCCACACUGGAACUGAGACACGGUCCAGACUCCUACGGGAGGCAGCAGUAGGGAAUCUUCCGCAAUGGGCGAAAGCCUGACGGAGCAACGCCGCGUGAGUGAUGAAGGUCUUCGGAUCGUAAAACUCUGUUAUUAGGGAAGAACAAAUGUGUAAGUAACUAUGCACGUCUUGACGGUACCUAAUCAGAAAGCCACGGCUAACUACGU